This 700-nucleotide ribosomal RNA is filed under the name uncultured bacterium. Its description in RNAcentral is "bacterial SSU rRNA". It matches the Rfam family "Bacterial small subunit ribosomal RNA", at positions 539 to 1238 of the family's 1533-position model. The record is from RNAcentral.
CGUUAAUCGGAUUUACUGGGCGUAAAGCGCGCGUAGGUGGCCAAUUAAGUCAAAUGUGAAAUCCCCGAGCUUAACUUGGGAAUUGCAUUCGAUACUGGUUGGCUAGAGUAUGGGAGAGGAUGGUAGAAUUCCAGGUGUAGCGGUGAAAUGCGUAGAGAUCUGGAGGAAUACCGAUGGCGAAGGCAGCCAUCUGGCCUAAUACUGACACUGAGGUGCGAAAGCAUGGGGAGCAAACAGGAUUAGAUACCCUGGUAGUCCAUGCCGUAAACGAUGUCUACUAGCCGUUGGGGCCUUUGAGGCUUUAGUGGCGCAGCUAACGCGAUAAGUAGACCGCCUGGGGAGUACGGUCGCAAGACUAAAACUCAAAUGAAUUGACGGGGGCCCGCACAAGCGGUGGAGCAUGUGGUUUAAUUCGAUGCAACGCGAAGAACCUUACCUGGUCUUGACAUAGUAAGAACUUUCCAGAGAUGGAUUGGUGCCUUCGGGAACUUACAUACAGGUGCUGCAUGGCUGUCGUCAGCUCGUGUCGUGAGAUGUUGGGUUAAGUCCCGCAACGAGCGCAACCCUUUUCCUUAUUUGCCAGCGGGUUAAGCCGGGAACUUUAAGGAUACUGCCAGUGACAAACUGGAGGAAGGCGGGGACGACGUCAAGUCAUCAUGGCCCUUACGACCAGGGCUACACACGUGCUACAAUGGUCGGU